ACAAUGGGGGCCCAAGGUGAGAUGAAGCUGUAGUCUCACUGGAAGGACUAGAGGUUAGAGGAGACCCCCCCGAAACAAAAAACAGCAUAUUGACGCUGGGAAAGACCAGAGAUCCUGCUGUCUCCUCAGCAUCAUUCCAGGCACAGAACGCCAGAAAAUGGAAUGGUGCUGUUGAAUCAACAGGUUCU
RNAcentral lists this long non-coding RNA (188 nucleotides) under dengue virus type 2. Its description in RNAcentral is "Dengue virus type 2 sfRNA4". The stretch from base 96 to 188 matches the Rfam family "Flavivirus 3' UTR cis-acting replication element (CRE)". The record is from RNAcentral. Lineage: Riboviria; Orthornavirae; Kitrinoviricota; Flasuviricetes; Amarillovirales; Flaviviridae.